UACGUAGGGGGCAAGCGUUGUCCGGAAUUAUUGGGCGUAAAGAGCUCGUAGGUGGUUUGCUGCGUCCGCUGUGAAAACCCAAGGCUUAACCUUGGGCUUGCAGUGGAUACGGGCAGACUAGAGGUAGGUAGGGGAGAAUGGAAUUCCCGGUGUAGCGGUGAAAUGCGCAGAUAUCGGGAGGAACACCGGUGGCGAAGGCGGUUCUCUGGGCCUUACCUGACACUGAGGAGCGAAAGCGUGGGGAGCGAACAGG
RNAcentral lists this ribosomal RNA (253 nucleotides) under uncultured bacterium. RNAcentral describes it as "partial 16S ribosomal RNA". It matches the Rfam family "Bacterial small subunit ribosomal RNA", at positions 524 to 776 of the family's 1533-position model. The record is from RNAcentral.